AGCACCAAAUAGCAUCUUGCACUGAUACCACGCUCUUAGAAGAGUCCAGCUGCUGGACGCAACCUGCAGAGGGACCGUAGAGAAGAUAAGGCUGGAGUGGGAAAGGAAGAAGAGGGAGUGAGGGUUUGGAACGGGAUGGUGCUGGAGGCAAUUAGCAUUACAGAAAACGCCUCUCUAAUUUUGGCCGUGGCUCCAACAGUAACUCAGAAAGAAGGCAAGACACUGGACAAGUAGCUGCAGCGCUCUUAGAGGUGUGCACGCCAUUUACAAAUUUCUAUUUAAAAAGAAUUUGCAUGUGAAUGAGGUUCAGGACAGACACAA
This 321-nucleotide long non-coding RNA is filed under the name Homo sapiens (human). RNAcentral describes it as "HSALNT0151792". Lineage: Eukaryota; Metazoa; Chordata; Mammalia; Primates; Hominidae. The record is from RNAcentral.